CCUACGGGGGGCAGCAGUGAGGAAUAUUGGUCAAUGGACGCAAGUCUGAACCAGCCAUGCCGCGUGCAGGAAGACGGCUCUAUGAGUUGUAAACUGCUUUUGUACGAGGGUAAACGCAGAUACGCGUAUCUGUCUGAAAGUAUCGUACGAAUAAGGAUCGGCUAACUCCGUGCCAGCAGCCGCGGUAAUACGGAGGAUUCAAGCGUUAUCCGGAUUUAUUGGGUUUAAAGGGUGCGUAGGCGGUCGGAUAAGUUAGAGGUGAAAUCCCGAGGCUCAACUUCGGAAUUGCCUCUGAUACUGGUCGUCUAGAGAGUAGUAGCGGUGGGCGGAAUGUAUGGUGUAGCGGUGAAAUGCUUAGAGAUCAUACAGAACACCGAUUGCGAAGGCAGCUUACCGGGCUACUUCUGACGUUGAGGCACGAAAGCGUGGGGAGCAAACAGGAUUAGAUACCCCUGUAGUC
RNAcentral lists this ribosomal RNA (460 nucleotides) under uncultured bacterium. RNAcentral describes it as "partial 16S ribosomal RNA". It matches the Rfam family "Bacterial small subunit ribosomal RNA", at positions 338 to 795 of the family's 1533-position model. The record is from RNAcentral.